GACGAACGCUGGCGGCGUGCUUAACACAUGCAAGUCGAGCGGUAAGGCCCUUUCGGGGGUACACGAGCGGCGAACGGGUGAGUAACACGUGGGUGACCUGCCUUUAGCUCUGGGAUAAGCCUGGGAAACUGGGUCUAAUACCGGAUAUGACUCCGCGGUGCAUGCUGUGGGGUGGAAAGCCUUGUGCGGCUGGAGAUGGGCCCGCGGCCUAUCAGCUUGUUGGUGGGGUGANGGCCUACCAAGGCGACGACGGGUAGCCGGCCUGAGAGGGCGACCGGCCACACUGGGACUGAGACACGGCCCAGACUCCUACGGGAGGCAGCAGUGGGGAAUCUUGCGCAAUGGGCGAAAGCCUGACGCAGCGACGCCGCGUGAGGGAUGACGGCCUCGGUGU
This 394-nucleotide ribosomal RNA is filed under the name uncultured bacterium. RNAcentral's name for it is "bacterial SSU rRNA". It matches the Rfam family "Bacterial small subunit ribosomal RNA", at positions 28 to 423 of the family's 1533-position model. The record is from RNAcentral.